GGAUUAGAUACCCUGGUAGUCCACGCCGUAAACGAUGAUUACUAGGUGUUCGGUCUGUAUGGACUGAGUGCCCAAGCGAAAGCGAUAAGUAAUCCACCUGGGGAGUACGUUGGCAACAAUGAAACUCAAAGGAAUUGACGGGGGCCCGCACAAGCGGUGGAGCAUGUGGUUUAAUUCGAUGAUACGCGAGGAACCUUACCUGGGCUAUAAUGCCUCUGCCAUCCGGUGAAAGCUGGAGUUCCUUCGGGACAGAGUGCAAGGUGCUGCAUGGUUGUCGUCAGCUCGUGUUG
RNAcentral lists this ribosomal RNA (290 nucleotides) under uncultured bacterium. RNAcentral's name for it is "partial 16S ribosomal RNA". It matches the Rfam family "Bacterial small subunit ribosomal RNA", at positions 775 to 1067 of the family's 1533-position model. The record is from RNAcentral.